UCUGGUAAUGAUGCCUCUAAAGGUCACACUCCUUCCCAUACCGAACAGGAAAGUUAAGCUUUAGAGGGCCGAUGGUACUGCAUGGGUGAC
This 90-nucleotide ribosomal RNA is filed under the name Clostridium frigidicarnis. Lineage: Bacteria; Bacillati; Bacillota; Clostridia; Eubacteriales; Clostridiaceae. The record is from RNAcentral.